Long non-coding RNA from Tupaia belangeri chinensis (Chinese tree shrew), 318 nucleotides. RefSeq lists it as uncharacterized. Lineage: Eukaryota; Metazoa; Chordata; Mammalia; Scandentia; Tupaiidae. The transcript has 3 exons. The record is from RefSeq and is a predicted model, not a curated record.
GUGCUAGUGAAGCCUACCCGGGCAAGCACUGGGAAGGAAGAGGAGUAUAUAUAUGCAUUACUCUGAAGCAAUGUGUCCCAGGAAAACAUCAUGAUGGAUACACUGGAAUUUAAGACAGAGAGCUUCGAUGCAAAUGCCAGUGUGGUAGAUCCUGAAAACAUCCACCAGCUCCAGCUGCCCCUCCAUUUCCGGGUGGUGUGUGGAAGACUGGAAUCCUCAUGCCCAUGCAGUGAUCACCGUGCCUAUAGAGAGAUGGAAUGAAAAAAUGGAAAAGAUGUGAACUGUGUAAUUUCUGAACUUCAGCAGUGAUAAGCUCAU